This 71-nucleotide transfer RNA is filed under the name Pangasianodon hypophthalmus (striped catfish). Its description in RNAcentral is "tRNA-Lys". Lineage: Eukaryota; Metazoa; Chordata; Actinopteri; Siluriformes; Pangasiidae. The record is from RNAcentral.
CUGGAAAGCUCAGCCGGUAGCGCAUCAGAAUUUUAAUCUGAUGGUCCAUGGUUUAAGUCCCUGUUUGUAGG